Drosophila ananassae is the source of this 3106-nucleotide RNA transcript. RefSeq lists it as uncharacterized. The transcript is spliced from 10 exons. The record is from RefSeq and is a predicted model, not a curated record. NCBI's taxonomy places the organism in Eukaryota, Metazoa, Arthropoda, Insecta, Diptera, Drosophilidae.
AAGAUGGGGAGAGAGACCCCCAGAAUAUUACCCCGAAGGCAACUUUUACUCUGGGGGACUCUCCCAUUCGAAAUCCGAAAGUGGCGGGAUCCUGGUGAGAGAAACUUUCUCUUUUAAUUCGUCUUUGGAGCACUCUGCUGGCCGAUUUGUCCCAUGGUCGUCUUGGCGGGUGAGUUGGUAUUUUUUCCCAUCAGGUGGCAACUCCUUGUGUCAGGUUGGAGGCGGGUGGCAGCACUCGUUGGGAAAAAAGGACGUCGACUUGAGGACAACAUUGGAGGGCAGUGGAUUUGGCGUGAGACCUGUAUGAAGCAUCGUCGUGUGGGUGGACAUUGUGUGGCGUCUUCGUGUACAGGUGCAGGUGAGUCCAGAGGAUGUCGUCAGGAUGGGUAAAAUAUAUCACAGGAAUAAGAAGAGGACAUGUAAACAAAGAUUUCUGGACAGGAUUUAGGAGCAUAUCACAUAGAUUGAACAGAUCCCAGGUGUUGAUGGCGAUGGAUGGCCUUUUCGCAUGUAUCCUUACAUGGUCUGCGCGUUCGAUAGGAAGUUCGUCGAGUGGUGGGAACGCAGGAGAGAGUUAUAUUUUCGAGUGGGAGCAGACCGCGUCAUCUUUAUCUUCGCAGGGCAGGCAGUGGAUCGUGUGAGUAGGGAUUUCCGAUGCAGGUGUAUAGGGAGGAAGAGAGGGAUCAUGCUUGUGCUCAUGUACUGAUGGAGAAUGUUAGGAUCAUGCCGGAGCUGAGAUGUAUAACUCCUGUCGUCAGCUAGGUGGUGGGGAUUUUGUCAGAUCAAUCAAGUCUGGAGGAAUGUUUAUUUCCCAGGGGAGAAUCUUGAUGUCGGGAAAGACUAGGCGUCUCACCAUCAGAGGUUGACCGCGUAGCAUCCGUUCUGCUCGUUGUAGGGAGAUUUCACGAUUUACGUAUGAUUUUCUAAUCCAAUUUAUUGCUCUCUCGCCAAGCCUAUUUAUCCCGGAGCUUGAGAAAUUGGGAUGUACGUAUUUGGGCUUGAACUUGGCAUCUUCGGCAGCAUCGUCCUCCUUUUUUAUGUUUAGUCGAAGGAGCGUAGGGAUGAUGCAGGGUUGUGGGUGAGUUUUCCUCGAUUCUUUGAAAUGUUCCUCGAUCUGCUUCGCAAGUCUCGGCCUGGUCUUUUUAGUACAUUCAGGGGUGACCAUAUGAAGGCUGAGGUGUUGGGCCACAGGGUUUAUGUGCGAGGCCAGGGAGUUCGCAAGCCGGGUACUUUGGGCCUGAUAAGUUUCUUCCAGGGUCUUAAUUUUAUGUGCUCUGGCGAUGUCCUUAUUGGGUACGUGUCUGUCGUAGCCGAGCGCUCGUCUUAUAAUUGAGUUUGUCGUUUGUUGGGCCCUUAGUACCGCCGAUUCAGAGGCAAGCGAUGCCCACACCGGUAUGGCGUAUUGCCAUAGGGGGAUGAUGAGUUGUUUAAUAAGUGUGGCCUUGGUUUGCCGAGGUAGAGGGCUGGUGGGCCCAAGAAGCCAGUUUAGGCUUUUUGCCCUGGCCCGUGUCCUGAUGCAUAUCUGGGUGAUGUGCUUGUUCAUAUUUAAUUUACUGUCUAGUGUGAGCCCAAGAUAUUUAUAGGAGAUUGCGUGUGGGAUGGUCUGUCCAUCCAAAAGGAGCUGGGUUUUGGUGUCUUUGGCUGUGGGUCUGCCUAGAUUGAACGUGACAUGGGAACAUUUUUUGACGUUGAAGGACAUGCCCCAAGUAUUUGCCCAGGAAGAGAUUGCGUCCAGGUAGGCCUGUAGCUGCUUGCUGUGGUAGUUCGAGGCAUCGUGCUUGUACAGGAUGGCCGUGUCAUCCGCAUAGGUGGAGAGGAGAAAAUUUCCCGGGCUGUGGGUAUUGCUCCUAGCAAUGCUGGGAACAAUGUCAGGGAGAGGCAUGUCAGAGGUACGCAGUCAGCACCUUGAGUAGUUGAGGCGGGAGGAUUCUUUUUAGCUUCAGGAGCAAUCCUUUGUGCCAGACCCUGUCAAAGGCUUGGGAGAAAUCGAGGAAAACGGCUGAGCAUUUCUCCUUCUCCUCAAAUGCUUUGAGGACAUGCUGCGUGACCCUCAGGAUCUGCUGUUCAGCGCUAUGCUCCGGACGAAAACCGAAUUGGUGCCCAGGAAUUGCUUCCGAAAACAUCCUGCACUCCAUGAGCUUGGGGAGCAAUAGUCUCUCGAAUAGUUUUCCAAAACCAGAGAGUAGGCUUAUAGGCCUGUAAGAGUCUGGGCAGUGGGUUGACUUUCCCGAUUUGUGGAUCAUUGUGAUGAUUGCCAGCUUCCACUGCUGGGGGAAAUGCCCAAUCCUGAGUAUGGAGUUGAAGAUGUAGAGCAGAUAGAGGACAGCUUUUUUGGGUAGCAGUUUUAUCAGGGAGUUUGAGAUCCGGUCUUCGCCAGGACUCUUGGCUGAAGCUAGUGAAGAGAUCUGAGUGAGAAGUUCCUCCAGUUUAAAGGACACAGGAGCCAAGGGAGGAGAUUGAGGUUCAUUCUGGGGGAGAAUCUUUCUUCGAGGUGUUUGGCAAAUGCAUCAGCUUUUUCCUUCGGGGUUCGGGUCCAUCUGUAGGUUUGAGACUUGGUCAAGUUCCUGUGAGUCUCAUACUGGAGCGGUAUCUUGAGUGGAUGGUCCGCAGGAGGUUGCCUUUUAAUGUGCCUAGUGAUUCUCCAUAUUUUGGCCAUGUUGUAUCUGUCAGCUGGGUCCAGAUCCGUGAGCAUCCUGUCCAUCCUAGCCCGUUUCAGGUGAGGGAUCCGUCAACAUUGCUUGUUGGCAGGCUAGCGCUUUCUCAAGGAGAAGUCUGGCAGUUUUGUCCAGCCUUAUCUUGGAGUGAUGUGGGCGUUUGUUGGUGUUUGUGGAGACGCGGUUUGUGGUGGAGGAGGCAUGGGUGGCUGCCAGCUCUAUGUUUUUCAAAAGUGUUUCUGGAAAGCACGUAUGGAUUGGGAUCCUCUUGGAAGGGGAAGAGGUCUGGCAGAGUUUUGAUCUGGAGAGGGUGGACUCAAGGGGAUCAUGCCCAUAGAAACCGUGAUCAGGAUUGGAACAUGGUCAGAGGUUAAUUCAUUUGCGGAGGUUAUAGAGAUGUGGCUGGCAAGGAAACCUGAGUAGACGGCGAAAUCAAUGGCAGAGGGAUUUGC